Molecule: long non-coding RNA, 1062 nt
Organism: Girardinichthys multiradiatus
Lineage: Eukaryota; Metazoa; Chordata; Actinopteri; Cyprinodontiformes; Goodeidae
Exons: 4
Source: RefSeq, a predicted model, not a curated record
GUGAAUGUAUUUAACAGGUAAUAAGAAUAGCGGUGUCGGUUGACGGCCUGUAUAGGUCCAGAAACGGCUGUGAAGCUUAUUACUCUUGAAUACAGCUACUUCAGAUGACCACUGAACUAAUUUGGAGACCAGUGCAUUUUAUUUAACUCCCCUAGAGAACCUGCUAGAGCUCUCUAGUAUUCUUUUUAUUUUCCUUUUUUGGUUUUCUUUCUGAUCAUGAGCCAAUACUCCAGUCUGAUGGAGCAGUUUUUUCCACACUAUGGACAUUCUCCACUCCGCUCUGUUUGCUUGGCCAUUAUGUUAAUUUGCUUUGAGUGGAAAUAACCGUUUUUUGCCCAGUUUUAGUAAGUUUUUGCAGGCUUGAGAGCAUGCAAUGCAAGGGAUGACUCAUGAGGGUUCCAAGAAAAGAUGGAGGAGGCUGGACCUGGUCGAUUUGCAGAGCGGCCCAUCAUACGUCACCAAGCGCAGGACACCCCAACCCACCUGGCAGCCUUGAUCCUCCAAGCAGUCUACGGAGAACAAGAUAUGGCUUUCAUUUUGCUUUUCAUUAACUGAGUUUAGGAUAAGUUAUUUUGUGUGCUUUUCUCAUUGAAGUAAUGUGUGUCUCUUUAUGUCAAGGUUUCUGGACUCCGUGCCCCAUGACCAGCUGGAGUGUCAACGAGGCGGGAGCAAACAUCAAGCAUUUGCGGCACACAGUCUGCAACCUCUGGACUUACGUGCCUAUUUUGAACUUUCCUCCACUUCUCACCAUGAAGGCUCUGAUGUGAAGCAGCAGAUCACAUCCCAACAGGAAACUAAAGUGUCUCAAGUCAAAGAGCUUCAGAAGAAACUAUAGCAGGAGAUCACUGAGCUGAACUAAUUACAUGUAUUGCUUUGUCAGACCAAAUGUUAUUGUUCAAAUCCGUUCUGAAGGAAACUAAUUGUCAUGUUUGUCAUCGCUAAGGACUUCAGUCAUUUCUUAGUGCUUUCUCUUAGUUCUUCAAGUUUAUUUGGAUCAAUAAAUGUCUAUCAGUCGGUCGUGGCAGAUGGCCGCUCAUACUGAGCCUGGUUCUGCUGGAGGUU